RNAcentral lists this ribosomal RNA (491 nucleotides) under uncultured bacterium. Its description in RNAcentral is "bacterial SSU rRNA". It matches the Rfam family "Bacterial small subunit ribosomal RNA", at positions 28 to 517 of the family's 1533-position model. The record is from RNAcentral.
GACGAACGCUGGCGGCGUGCCUAACACAUGCAAGUCGAACGGAGAUUUUAUGGAAUGCGACUUCGGUCAAAUGAAAUUUAAUCUUAGUGGCGGACGGGUGAGUAACACGUGAGCAACCUGCCUUUCAGAGGGGAAUAACGGCUGGAAACGGUCGCUAAUACCGCAUAACAUACACUUUAGGCAUCUUUAGUGUAUCAAAGAUUUUAUCGCUGAAAGAUGGGCUCGCGUCUGAUUAGAUAGUUGGUGAGGUAACGGCUCACCAAGUCGACGAUCAGUAGCCGGACUGAGAGGUUGAACGGCCACAUUGGGACUGAGACACGGCCCAGACUCCUACGGGAGGCAGCAGUGGGGAAUAUUGCACAAUGGGCGCAAGCCUGAUGCAGCAACGCCGCGUGAGGGAAGACGGUUUUCGGAUUGUAAACCUUUGUCUUUGGUGAAGAACAUGACGGUAGCCAUGGAGGAAGCCACGGCUAACUACGUGCCAGCAGCCG